This 433-nucleotide ribosomal RNA is filed under the name uncultured bacterium. Its description in RNAcentral is "partial 16S ribosomal RNA". It matches the Rfam family "Bacterial small subunit ribosomal RNA", at positions 29 to 507 of the family's 1533-position model. The record is from RNAcentral.
AACGAACGCUGGCGGCAUGCCUAACACAUGCAAGUCGAACGAGACCUUCGGGUCUAGUGGCGCACGGGUGCGUAACGCGUGGGAACCUGCCCUUAGGUUCGGAAUGACUCCCCGAAAGGGGUGCUAAUACCGGAUAAUGUCUUCGGACCAAAGAUUUAUCGCCUUUGGAUGGGCCCGCGUUGGAUUAGCUAGUUGGUAGGGUAAAAGCCUACCAAGGCGACGAUCCAUAGCUGGUCUGAGAGGAUGAUCGGCCACACUGGGACUGAGACACGGCCCAGACUCCUACGGGAGGCAGCAGUGGGGAAUAUUGGACAAUGGGCGAAAGCCUGAUCCAGCAAUGCCGCGUGAGUGAUGAAGGCCUUAGGGUUGUAAAGCUCUUUUACCCGGGAUGAUAAUGACAGUACCGGGAGAAUAAGCUCCGGCUAACUCCGUG